This 405-nucleotide ribosomal RNA is filed under the name uncultured Chloroflexota bacterium. RNAcentral's name for it is "bacterial SSU rRNA". It matches the Rfam family "Bacterial small subunit ribosomal RNA", at positions 355 to 776 of the family's 1533-position model. Lineage: Bacteria; Bacillati; Chloroflexota. The record is from RNAcentral.
UGAGGAAUAUUGAGCAAUGGGCGAAAGCCUGACUCAGCAACGCCGCGUGGGCGACGAAGGCCUUCGGGUUGUAAAGCCCUUUUCUGGGGGACGAGCAAGGACGGUACCCCAGGAAUAAGUCACGGCUAACUACGUGCCAGCAGCCGCGGUAAUACGUAGGUGGCCAGCGUUAUCCGGAUUUACUGGGCGUAAAGCGCGUGUAGGUGGUUUCGUAAGUCGGACGUGAAAGCUCCUGGCUUAACUGGGAGAGGCCGUUCGAUACUGCGGGGCUUGAGGUCGGGAGAGGGACGUGGAAUUCCCGGUGUAGUGGUGGAAUGCGUAGAUAUCGGGAGGAACACCAGUGGCGAAGGCGGCGUCCUGGCCCGCACCUGACACUCAGACGCGAAAGCGUGGGGAGCGAACGGG